This 730-nucleotide ribosomal RNA is filed under the name uncultured bacterium. RNAcentral describes it as "bacterial SSU rRNA". It matches the Rfam family "Bacterial small subunit ribosomal RNA", at positions 771 to 1501 of the family's 1533-position model. The record is from RNAcentral.
AACAGGAUUAGAUACCCUGGUAGUCCACACCGUAAACGAUGAGUGCUAGGUGUUUGAGGGUUUCCGCCCUUAAGUGCCGCAGCUAACGCAUUAAGCACUCCGCCUGGGGAGUACGACCGCAAGGUUGAAACUCAAAGGAAUUGACGGGGGCCCGCACAAGCGGUGGAGCAUGUGGUUUAAUUCGAAGCUACGCGAAGAACCUUACCAGGUCUUGACAUCUUCUGCCAAUCUUAGAGAUAAGACGUUCCCUUCGGGGACAGAAUGACAGGUGGUGCAUGGUUGUCGUCAGCUCGUGUCGUGAGAUGUUGGGUUAAGUCCCGCAACGAGCGCAACCCUUAUUAUCAGUUGCCAGCAUUCAGUUGGGCACUCUGGUGAGACUGCCGGUGACAAACCGGAGGAAGGUGGGGAUGACGUCAAAUCAUCAUGCCCCUUAUGACCUGGGCUACACACGUGCUACAAUGGACGGUACAACGAGUUGCGAAGUCGUGAGGCUAAGCUAAUCUCUUAAAGCCGUUCUCAGUUCGGAUUGUAGGCUGCAACUCGCCUACAUGAAGUUGGAAUCGCUAGUAAUCGCGGAUCAGCAUGCCGCGGUGAAUACGUUCCCGGGCCUUGUACACACCGCCCGUCACACCAUGAGAGUUUGUAACACCCAAAGCCGGUGAGAUAACCUUCGGGAGUCGGCCGUCUAAGGUGGGACAGAUGAUUAGGGUGAAGUCGUAACAAGGUAACC